Molecule: ribosomal RNA, 497 nt
Filed under: uncultured bacterium
Lineage: Bacteria
Description: partial 16S ribosomal RNA
Rfam family: Bacterial small subunit ribosomal RNA
Source: RNAcentral
GAUGAACGCUGGCGGCGUGCCUAAUACAUGCAAGUCGAGCGAACGGACGAGAAGCUUGCUUCUCUGAUGUUAGCGGCGGACGGGUAAGUAACACGUGGAUAACCUACCUAUAAGACUGGGAUAACUUCGGGAAACCGGAGCUAAUACCGGAUAAUAUUUUGAACCGCAUGGUUCAAAAGUGAAAGACGGUCUUGCUGUCACUUAUAGAUGGAUCCGCGCUGCAUUAGCUAGUUGGUAAGGUAACGGCUUACCAAGGCAACGAUGCAUGGCCGACCUGAGAGGGUGAUCGGCCACACUGGAACUGAGACACGGUCCAGACUCCUACGGGAGGCAGCAGUAGGGAAUCUUCCGCAAUGGGCGAAAGCCUGACGGAGCAACGCCGCGUGAGUGAUGAAGGUCUUCGGAUCGUAAAACUCUGUUAUUAGGGAAGAACAUAUGUGUAAGUAACUGUGCACAUCUUGACGGUACCUAAUCAGAAAGCCACGGCUAACUACGUG